This 254-nucleotide ribosomal RNA is filed under the name uncultured bacterium. RNAcentral describes it as "partial 16S ribosomal RNA". It matches the Rfam family "Bacterial small subunit ribosomal RNA", at positions 524 to 776 of the family's 1533-position model. The record is from RNAcentral.
UACGUAGGUGGCAAGCGUUGUUCGGAAUUAUUGGGCGUAAAGAGCUCGUAGGCGGUGUGUCGCGUCGGCCGUGAAAACCUGCAGCUUAACUGUGGGCUUGCGGUCGAUACGGGCAUCACUGGAGUUCGGCAGGGGAGACUGGAAUUCCUGGUGUAGCGGUGAAAUGCGCAGAUAUCAGGAGGAACACCGGUGGCGAAGGCGGGUCUCUGGGCCGAUACUGACGCUGAGGAGCGAAAGCGUGGGGAGCGAACAGG